GAAACAGUAAGAUAUACAGAAAACAGCAGCAGCAUCAGAAUCACUAUCACUUCCAUCACCACACUACAACAGAAUUAGGUUAUAGGGACACAUGUUUGGGACACUUUUGAGUAAGUGUCCCAUUUAUGCUAAAACUUAAAGAAACAUCUACUAAUGCCUAAAUAUAAAUCCCAAUCCAACCAAAAAUAAAAUAUUACUCUACUCAACCCACUACACCUAGUCCAUUUGGCCCGAUUACAAACAGAAAAGAAAAAAAAAAGAAGAAAAAUCAAUUACCAUAUUUUCUUCUCUCUUCACUCAAUCCACUGAAAUUCUAGACGAAGAGCCAUUCCUGUCGUCCUCCUCCGCCACCGCAGCCAACGAGAUAGAGUUUCGGCGGAUGCUAAAUGCUUAAAUAAGUUGUUGGUAAAUUAGCAGCACUCUUUUAGGUUAUAGCGACACUCUUUAACUGUCACUAUAUACCUACCGACCCCACAUAUAGCAACACUUUUUAAAAGUGUCGGUAAUUUUAGUUAACAGCAUUUUUUUGACAUGUAUCUAUAUUUAAAAAUGUCGCUAUAGACCGUUUUUGUUGUAGUGCCACUCGCGUUCCCUUCGUCGACAUUGUCGCUAGUUUGUGUCGCUUCGAUACACUUAACUCUUUAAAUAUUUGUUUGGACCAAAAUUGAG
Molecule: long non-coding RNA, 669 nt
Filed under: Ananas comosus (pineapple)
Lineage: Eukaryota; Viridiplantae; Streptophyta; Magnoliopsida; Poales; Bromeliaceae
Description: long non-coding RNA (ACOM_LNC013250)
Source: RNAcentral